Molecule: long non-coding RNA, 724 nt
Filed under: Mustela putorius furo (domestic ferret)
Lineage: Eukaryota; Metazoa; Chordata; Mammalia; Carnivora; Mustelidae
Description: lncRNA (ENSMPUG00000024001.1)
Source: RNAcentral
GACAGCUUGACCAGAGGGUGCCUUGAAAAUAGCGAAGCCUGUGGUUCUCAAAGUGUGGUCUCUAGAUCAUGAGCAUCACCGGGGAACUUGCUGGAAGGCAAAGGAAGCAAUUCUGUGGGACUAUCACCUGGGGGCAGCACAGGACCACUGGUCCUGGCUUCUCAUGGGUAGCUGUGGGAAGAACUUCUUGGCCUGCUUUGCCGCUGAAGGAGAGCACCAUUCCCUGGGGGCCAUUGGUGGGAUGUGAAGGCCUGGAAGCUGCUCUCAGAGCCCAAGUCCUCGUGGCCUUCAGGAGAGAAGCCAGGGCUCCCUGUCCCUAUUCUUCAUUCAGAAAGCUCAGGCUCCCAGCCAGGGGCCUCCCGACUGCUGACUGCUACCGCUCUCACCUGCUACCCUGUAGGAGCCCCCUGGGAGCAUGGCAGCUGUUGCUGGACAGGACAGUGCGAUGACCUGUCUGGGCUCCAGCACCUCUCUGCUUUGGGACGGCAGGGGUCUAACAUCCUGAGUUGGGAGUAAAACCAGCAAAACCUGGGUUAUUUUCACCCUAAACAUAUCCAGAGGCCUGGGGGUGACAGAGAAAAGGAAUUUAGUUGAACAAAAAUAAAAAAGAUCAGACAGAAAUAUAGGAAAACAUUUAGAGUCUCUUUUUCCCUGGGAUCGGGGCUUCUGGGUGCUGUCUAGUCAUGGCUUUGCUUUUAUUUGCAUUUAGACUUUCUAAAACCAG